RNAcentral lists this transfer RNA (71 nucleotides) under Loxodonta africana (African savanna elephant). It matches the Rfam family "tRNA". From Rfam's summary of the family: Transfer RNA (tRNA) molecules are approximately 80 nucleotides in length. Their secondary structure includes four short double-helical elements and three loops (D, anti-codon, and T loops). Further hydrogen bonds mediate the characteristic L-shaped molecular structure. tRNAs have two regions of fundamental functional importance: the anti-codon, which is responsible for specific mRNA codon recognition, and the 3' end, to which the tRNAs corresponding amino acid is attached (by aminoacyl-tRNA synthetases). tRNAs cope with the degeneracy of the genetic code in two manners: having more than one tRNA (with a specific anti-codon) for a particular amino acid; and 'wobble' base-pairing, i.e. permitting non-standard base-pairing at the 3rd anti-codon position. Lineage: Eukaryota; Metazoa; Chordata; Mammalia; Proboscidea; Elephantidae. The record is from Rfam by way of RNAcentral.
GCAGUGGUGGCUCAGUGGUAGAAUCCUCGCCUUCCGUGUGAAUGACCUGAGUUUGAGUCUCAGCCAAUGCA